UUUGGGACUUCAGAAAAGUUUGAUCUGGAAAAUUAUUGUGUAAUCCCACUGGAGUCGUCUUAACAUCCAACAGCUGCCAGUGGGGUGACGUAGUCCAAUGGGAUCUACUCCUCUGCUCCGAGGAACAAAACAGCUGCUGCAAGAUGAUUUUUCUGUAUAUCCAGAGAAAGCGGUCAGAAGAGACCUUGCCCUGAAGAAAGGCACCCCGAUGAGUUCAACAUAAGGGACUACAGCUUCUAUGGAGUGAUUGGAGAAGGAAGCUAUGGCAAGGUUUUGCUGGCUAGACUGCAGGGCCAAAAGAAGUUUGUGGCUAUGAAAGUCACAAAGAUACCACCUGGGAAAAAGAAGAUCGACAACAUCGCUAAAGAGGCUGUGUACUGAGGGCAGCCAGGGAAAGCCCAUUUUGCAUCUACACAACUGCAGCUUUUAAAACACAGGUUCCACUCUGCAGAGCUGGUAUGUGGACUACAAUGCCUGCAUACUAAAGGCAUCAUUCAUUGAGAACUAAAACCAGCCAACAUCCUUCUGGACAAAGAUGGCCACAUCAAAUUAGCAGAUUUUGGUUCAGCGGCAGAGAAUAUCUUUGGAGACAAGAUCAUCAAUGGCUUUGUUGGAACACUUGGAUAUAUGGCCCCAGAGAUCCUCCAACACCAGGUUUCAAUGCAGCGGUGGACAGGUGGUCGUUAGGCAUCGUCAUCAGCAAAAUGGCCCCUGGCAAAUCUCCAUUUUAUAAUGGCCAUAAAAAGGAGAAGUGCAGUGCAGUCAUCUGUGACCAACCCAACAUCCCUGAUUGGCUGUGUGCAGAAAUGCGCCAUCUCUUGCAAAAGCUUCUGGAGAAGAACCCUGCAAGAAGACUGGGUGUUAAUGGGAACAUCAGAGAGCACCCUGUCUUCUCAUCCAUUAACUGGGUCGAACUGGAAAAUAAAAGAAUAAGACCACCUUUCAAGCUAGAGAUCAUCAACAAAGCCUUUGAAACCUUGUUCUCUGGAGUCACUUUCAUUCUUGAAGCCCUGAACCGAAACACCAAAUCAGGACAACAAUAUUGAAUUUAACAUUCGUGGCUAUCUGCAGUUGGGAUCAUCAUGAAUAGAAGACCUAAUGCCCGAUGUGUUUGAACAUCCAUCACAGUCUACAAACCUACACCAUCUGCUCCAGUAUCCCAUGGCGUCUCCAACAUCCCUUUUGGGAAAUUAAUUAAGGUAAUAUAAUAGAUAUAUAUAGAUGUAUAUAUUUAUUAGAUAAAUGUAGAUAUAUAUAGU
RNA transcript from Xenopus laevis (African clawed frog), 1259 nucleotides. It is a transcript of the gene named protein kinase C delta type-like, with no coding region annotated. NCBI's taxonomy places the organism in Eukaryota, Metazoa, Chordata, Amphibia, Anura, Pipidae. The transcript is spliced from 8 exons. The record is from RefSeq and is a predicted model, not a curated record.